This 718-nucleotide ribosomal RNA is filed under the name uncultured Desulfitobacterium sp. Its description in RNAcentral is "bacterial SSU rRNA". It matches the Rfam family "Bacterial small subunit ribosomal RNA", at positions 9 to 698 of the family's 1533-position model. The record is from RNAcentral. Lineage: Bacteria; Bacillati; Bacillota; Clostridia; Eubacteriales; Desulfitobacteriaceae.
GAGUUUGAUCCUGGCUCAGGACGAACGCUGGCGGCGUGCCUAACACAUGCAAGUCGAACGGAGAACUCAAAAAGCUUGCUUUGAGAGUUCUUAGUGGCGGACGGGUGAGUAACGCGUGGGCAACCUCCCCCUUAAACCGGGACAACCCUUGGAAACGAGGGCUAAUACCGGAUACACUUUUCUGAGGACAUCCUCGGGAAAGGAAAGGCGGCCUCUGAAGAUGCUGCCGAUAAGGGAUGGACCCGCGUCUGAUUAGCUGGUUGGUGGGGUAAAGGCCUACCAAGGCGACGAUCAGUAGCCGGCCUGAGAGGGUGAACGGCCACACUGGGACUGAGACACGGCCCAGACUCCUACGGGAGGCAGCAGUGGGGGAUCUUCCGCAAUGGACGAAAGUCUGACGGAGCAACGCCGCGUGUAUGACGAAGGCCUUCGGGUUGUAAAGUACUGUCUUUAGGGACGAACGGUAUCUAUGUGAACAAUGUAGGUACAUGACGGUACCUAAGGAGGAAGCCCCGGCUAACUACGUGCCAGCAGCCGCGGUAAUACGUAGGGGGCGAGCGUUGUCCGGAAUCAUUGGGCGUAAAGGGCGCGUAGGCGGAUUUUUAAGUCUGGUGUGAAAACUUGGGGCUCAACCCCAAGCCUGCAUCGGAAACUGGGAAUCUUGAGGACAGGAGAGGAAAGUGGAAUUCCACGUGUAGCGGUGAAAUGCGUAGAGAUG